GCUUGCUUCUUACUGUAUACAUUUAUUACUUCAAUACCAUUUUUUGUUUGAGUUUGGAUUAGAUUUAAACCAAAUUGCAAUUAGUUUUAAGUCAUAUUUGCUUAAAUUUUUCAAUACAUUUUAUGGUAAAUAUUGGUAAAGGGGAGGCCAGUUUCGAUGAUCUUGAUUUUGGCAUAGAGUUUUGAUGUGCAGUUGUUAGCCGUCGUUCGUUAUUUCUUCAAAAAUUAUUAACAAAAAUAUAUUACUAAUAUGCGUAACGUAUGCACUUACUAUGCGUAAAUACAUGUAACCAUGAACACAGACGUGUCCGUUGGUUUACUAUUAAUGUAAUUACAUAAUAUAUAUAUAUUUACUUAUUAUUUUGAUAGCAUUUUAUAGAAAUGUUUGCAAUCACACAUAUCGUAUUACAUCAUGUACAAUUAGUUGCAAUAUCAUCCAUGUUACUUAUAUUUCAAUGCUGUAUAUACAUAUUUGAAUAAAUCUCAUUGUUAGUAUAACGUUCCAUAUAAUUGAAAAACAAUCGGAUAUCGUAUAAUCGACGUAACGUUCGAAACAAUAUUAUAAGAACGUAGUUGCAAAAAUUGACGACGAACUAGUGCGAUAUGCGUAGCUCGUAAACUGUCGGUGAAUGGUGUGGUAGCUACCGCACACGUAAGUUAACACACACAGCAGCAAACUGCACUAGCUAGGUUGCAAUAACCCUCUAGGUUUCCUCCACUGCCAUCCAUAAUUACACUCUCAACAUAGUAACUGCAUCUCCAGUGCUCGAGAUCGUCGCGUCUAUUGUGAAUGCACCAGUGCUGCGAAAGUGACGACUGAAAAGCAAACCACACACCGCGCAAUCUUGCCAAGAUGACAAGUAUGACUUAGUAUCACCAUCAUCGUCCUUUCGAAAGUACGCUUGCAAGCUGAACUUGUUACACGAUAAACGUAAUAUGAUUAUAACUUUUUACUCGUCAGCUAUCUUAUGCAACAUUACGCUGUAAUACGUUUCGGAUUUCCCUCCUGGACAAUUGCGUGAUUCGUUUCUGUGAGAAAAGUGAAAAGAAUCUUAAAUUAAGUAGGGCUGAAUUUUGCGCGCAGCUGUUUCUCUCUACGGCAGAGUUUGACGCGAAUUACGUGUAAACGAUACGCCACUGCAAUAUGUGACGGGUAGUGUUCUCUGCGCAAGCACAUUGGUAUCAAGUUUUUAAUAACUAAACUACAAUUUUUCUUGAAAAUAUGAUGCAUAUACUUUAAGUUUCAUAAUUCACUUUAAUAAUUAAUAAUACAACUGUGUGUGACAUAUUUUAAAGCACGGUACGACACAUAGACCCACGUCACGAUUUUCACACUCAUAGCGCGAUAGUGUUUUCCAAAUUGCUCUUCGUUUUCCAUUUUGAAGCGACAUUUUGAGAUUGAAGAUUCUAAAAAAUUAUAAGGAUACGGGUCGGCAUGUUAAAAAGAGCAUCUAAUAAUGGUAUAUUUAUUUUAACAAAAGCAAAACACUGGCGUAUCAAAAACAAGGACUAUAUAUUCUAUCUGUAUAUUAUUAACACUGUUAUAAAACAUUGCGUGAAGUAAGACAAAUGAAAAAGACCAUUUAGUUGAAACGGUGAGCGAAUGAGUCAGUGGAGUGAGCCACUAUAGUGGCGCGUCGUAAUAUAAGAUGACAUCCGCGAAAGCCACCAUAGUGGCGCAUCGUACCUAAGAGAUUA
Molecule: long non-coding RNA, 1697 nt
Organism: Bombus impatiens (common eastern bumble bee)
Lineage: Eukaryota; Metazoa; Arthropoda; Insecta; Hymenoptera; Apidae
Exons: 2
Source: RefSeq, a predicted model, not a curated record